CACCACUCAUUGGCUUUUUUAGCUUUUUUGCUCAUGGUCACCUUAUUGUCCCUGAAGACUCCAAGGUUUUACAUUUGUCCUUGUUGAAAUUCAUUGUGUUAGCUUUAGCUGAGCUCGCUAAUCUCUUAAGGUCAUUUUGAAUUAUGAUCCUGUCCUCUUGAGUAUUAACUAUCUCUCGAAAUUUGGUGACAUCUGCAACUUUGAUAAGGAGCCAUUUUGAAGUUUAUUUGCAAAAAGUCAUGAGGGGAAAUCAUUUACGAACCAAGGAAACCUCUAAGAAAAACGAUUGUCAUUGCAAUUAAUUAAUUGCUUAGUUAAAUCUUCACAUUUCCCCCAGCCUUGGGACUCACGGCAUCUGAAUAAAUCAGACUCAGAGCGGCUUACAGCAAAACAAUAACAUAAUUGGGGCUGCUGUAGGUUUGCAGGGUUUUUAGCCUCCUUGGUUAAAGAGUGCUGCUGUCUUGUCAAAUUACAAAUCUUGGGAUGCUAUAGCAUUGGGUCGUGGAAGUUCAAAUGGUGUCAAACUGCAUUAAUUCUACAGUGUAGAUGCACCCUGAGAUUGAGGACCAAAUAAUAGAGAAAUGCCAGGCUCAUUGGCAUGUCUUCCCAAGACCAGAGGCAUGAGGAGUUCUGUAUUUUUUUUUGUGAAAAGCUGCAUUAAAAGGAAAUUAACUUGCUGGUUUACUCUCCAUGCUCUGUCCUAUCCGCUGCAUCACAGUGUUAUGUUCCCCUUCCCACGAGGACUCCAAGAUUUUUUUCACAUGUCCUGCUGAGCCAGGCACCACUCAUUGGCUUUUUUAGCUUUUUUGCUCAUGGUCACCUUAUUGUCCCUGAAGACUCCAAGGUUUUACAUUUGUCCUUGUUGAAAUUCAUUGUGUUAGCUUUAGCUGAGCUCGCUAAUCUCUUAAGGUCAUUUUGAAUUAUGAUCCUGUCCUCUUGAGUAUUAACUAUCUCUCGAAAUUUGGUGACAUCUGCAACUUUGAUAAGGAGCCAUUUUGAAGUUUAUUUGCAAAAAGUCAUGAGGGGAAAUCAUUUACGAACCAAGGAAACCUCUAAGAAAAACUAUUGUCAUUGCAAUUAAUUAAUUGCUUAGUUAAAUCUUCACAUUUCCCCCAGCCUUGGGACUCACGGCAUCUGAAUAAAUCAGACUCAGAGCGGCUUACAGCAAAACAAUAACAUAAUUGGGGCUGCUGUAGGUUUGCAGGGUUUUUAGCCUCCUUGGUUAAAGAGUGCUGCUGUCUUGUCAAAUUACAAAUCUUGGGAUGCUAUAUCAUUGGGUCGUGGAAGUUCAAAUGGUGUCAAACUGCAUUAAUUCUACAGUGUAGAUGCACCCUGAGAUU
Molecule: long non-coding RNA, 1340 nt
Filed under: Anolis carolinensis (green anole)
Lineage: Eukaryota; Metazoa; Chordata; Lepidosauria; Squamata; Anolidae
Description: lncRNA (ENSACAG00000039950.1)
Source: RNAcentral